UUCAAGAUCCACCGGUGGAGGAAGAGGAAGAAACAGCUCACAGCUCCACACAGCAGCCUGUAAACAGACAAGUGAUCACUCAGACAAAGAAGCUUAUUUUAAUCAGCGUUAGACUGCAGGAAGUCAUCAGACAUGGGGAAGUGAUGGUGAAGAAAACAAGAAGAAGACUGGUGCGGCCGUGAAGAUGAGGACAUUAAUUAUCUCACCCCAGCAGAGCAAACAGAAGAAUCUCCAGCGGGUGGAAAGGUGCUCUGAUAGGGGGUCGCCAUUACCUAAAUCUCCGCUCCACACUGAGAACAGGCGGAAGGUCAGCGCCCCGCAGGCAGCAGAGAAGAAACAUGGGAAGUAAUGCCUCAGGGUGAAGUGAGAGCUCAUCACCUCCACACUGAACAAAACUCCUACAGAGGAGAGAGGGUGGGAAAGAGUGAGCAAGUUGUUUGG
Labrus mixtus (cuckoo wrasse) is the source of this 441-nucleotide long non-coding RNA. RefSeq lists it as uncharacterized. The record is from RefSeq and is a predicted model, not a curated record. The transcript is spliced from 3 exons. NCBI's taxonomy places the organism in Eukaryota, Metazoa, Chordata, Actinopteri, Labriformes, Labridae.